RNAcentral lists this ribosomal RNA (244 nucleotides) under uncultured bacterium. RNAcentral describes it as "partial 16S ribosomal RNA". It matches the Rfam family "Bacterial small subunit ribosomal RNA", at positions 524 to 767 of the family's 1533-position model. The record is from RNAcentral.
UACGUAGGGGGCAAGCGUUGUCCGGAUUUAUUGGGCGUAAAGGGCGCGUAGGCGGCCUGUUAAGUCGAACGUGAAAUCCCUGGGCUCAACCCAGGAACUGCGUCCGAUACUGGCAGGCUUGAAUUCGGGAGAGGGAUGCGGAAUUCCAGGUGUAGCGGUGAAAUGCGUAGAUAUCUGGAGGAACACCGGUGGCGAAGGCGGCAUCCUGGACCGAUAUUGACGCUGAGGCGCGAAAGCCAGGGAG